GACGAACGCUGGCGGCGUGCUUAACACAUGCAAGUCGAACGGAAAGGCCCUUUCGGGGGUGCUCGAGUGGCGAACGGGUGAGUAACACGUGGGUGAUCUGCCCUGAGCUUUGGGAUAAGCCUGGGAAACUGGGUCUAAUACCGGAUAUGACCAGUGGGUGCAUGCUUGCUGGUGGAAAGCCUUGUGCGGUUUGGGAUGGGCCCGCGGCCUAUCAGCUUGUUGGUGGGGUAAUGGCCUACCAAGGCGACGACGGGUAGCCGACCUGAGAGGGUGGAUCGGCCACACUGGGACUGAGACACGGCCCAGACUCCUACGGGAGGCAGCAGUGGGGAAUAUUGCACAAAUAGGGGCGGCAAGCCUGAUGCAGCGACGCCGCGUGAGGGA
Molecule: ribosomal RNA, 384 nt
Filed under: uncultured bacterium
Lineage: Bacteria
Description: bacterial SSU rRNA
Rfam family: Bacterial small subunit ribosomal RNA
Source: RNAcentral